GACGAACCGAGCGAACGUUGUUCGGAAUCACUGGGCUUAAAGGGCGCGUAGGCGGGCUGUCAAGUCUGGGGUGAAAUCCCACGGCUCAACCGUGGAACUGCCUUAGAUACUGACAGCCUCGAGGAAGGUAGGGGCAUGCGGAACUGUAGGUGGAGCGGUGAAAUGCGUUGAUAUCUACAGGAACUCCGGUGGCGAAAGCGGCGUGCUGGACCUUUUCUGACGCUGAGGCGCGAAAGCUAGGGGAGCAAACGGG
RNAcentral lists this ribosomal RNA (253 nucleotides) under uncultured bacterium. RNAcentral's name for it is "partial 16S ribosomal RNA". It matches the Rfam family "Bacterial small subunit ribosomal RNA", at positions 524 to 776 of the family's 1533-position model. The record is from RNAcentral.